GUGCUCGCUUUGGUAGCAUAUAUACUAAAAUUGGAAGAAUAUAGAGAAGAUUAGCAUGGCCCCUGCACAAGGAUGACAUGCAAAUUUGUGAAGCAUUCCAUAUUUAA
RNAcentral lists this small nuclear RNA (107 nucleotides) under Pan paniscus (pygmy chimpanzee). The record is from RNAcentral. Lineage: Eukaryota; Metazoa; Chordata; Mammalia; Primates; Hominidae.